This 251-nucleotide long non-coding RNA is filed under the name Pogona vitticeps (central bearded dragon). RNAcentral describes it as "lncRNA (ENSPVIG00000020178.1)". Lineage: Eukaryota; Metazoa; Chordata; Lepidosauria; Squamata; Agamidae. The record is from RNAcentral.
GGGAGAAACGUAACGAACCCGGAAAAAAAAAAAAGAAAAGAGGGAGCGAGCGGAGCGCUGCGCGCAGCGAGCUUGGCGCGGUCUCCAUCCCGCAGCAGCCCCGAGGGCGAUGUUCCAGGCCAGCCGCCGGACCACCCUUCGCCACCGGCCCGAGGAGAGGCCGCGAGCAGCUGUAGCCGUUUCAGGCAUAUCAGGAACUCAAUAGGGACUUCUGAGAUACUAUGCACCAUUGAUUCUUCGCGGCCAACCUG